Molecule: unclassified non-coding RNA, 240 nt
Filed under: soil metagenome
Description: partial contains 5.8S ribosomal RNA, internal transcribed spacer 2, and large subunit ribosomal RNA
Source: RNAcentral
AAGACUAUAGACCUGCGGAGUACCUGCGGAAGGAUCAUCGAAGGAAAAUGGCUUCUCUUACUUAGGGGAGGUGCAAGGGGAGGAGAAAUUCUCUUGUUGCACUUCUCUAAACAAACAAUCGCAACUAGCACAAAUGGAGCGAGUAGUGGGAUGUAGUGUGGUUUGGUUUGGCUUGGUUUGGUGGGGGCGGUAGCAGCAGCAGUCAAAAGUGUUUGCCUGAUAAUCAGAUAGACUGAAAUG